GUGCCAGCAGCCGCGGUAAUACGUAGGCAGCAAACGUUGUUCGGAAUUACUGGGCGUAAAGAGUGUGUAGGCGGUCUCGCAAGUUUGGUGUGAAAUCUCCCGGCUUAACUGGGAGGGUGCGCCGAAAACUGCAAGGCUUGAGUACUGGAGAGGAGAGCGGAAUUCCUGGUGUAGCGGUGAAAUGCGUAGAUAUCAGGAGGAACACCGGUGGUGUAGACGGCUCUCUGGACAGUCACUGACGCUGAGACACGAAAGCGUGGGGAGCAAACAGGAUUAGAUACCCGUGUAGUCC
RNAcentral lists this ribosomal RNA (292 nucleotides) under uncultured bacterium. Its description in RNAcentral is "partial 16S ribosomal RNA". It matches the Rfam family "Bacterial small subunit ribosomal RNA", at positions 505 to 796 of the family's 1533-position model. The record is from RNAcentral.